AGCAGCCGCGGUAAUUCCAGCUCCAAUAGCGUAUAUUAAAGUUGCUGCAGUUAAAAAGCUCGUAGUUGAAUUUCGGGAUCAAUAUGUUGGUCGUGCCUCGGUACGUACUAGCUUAUUGGUUUCUCCCUUCUGACGAACCAUGAUGUCAUUUAUUUGGUGUUAUGGGAAAUCAGGACUGUUACUUUGAAAAAAUUAGAGUGUUUAAAGCAGGCUCACGCUUGAAUACAUUAGCAUGGAAUAAUGAAAUAGGACGUUUGAUUCUAUUUUGUUGGUUUCUAGGAUCGACGUAAUGAUUAAUAGGGAUAGUUGGGGGCAUUAGUAUUCAAUUGUCAGAGGUGAAAUUCUUGGAUUUAUUGAAGACUAACUACUGCGAAAGCAUUUGCCAAGGAUGUUUUCAUUAAUCAAGAACGAAAGUUAGGGGAUCGAAGACGAUCAGAUACCGUCGUAGUCUUAACCAUAAACUAUGCCGACUAGGGAUCGGAUGAUG
This 487-nucleotide unclassified non-coding RNA is filed under the name uncultured Entrophospora. RNAcentral describes it as "SSU rRNA". It matches the Rfam family "Eukaryotic small subunit ribosomal RNA", at positions 569 to 1062 of the family's 1831-position model. The record is from RNAcentral. Lineage: Eukaryota; Fungi; Glomeromycota; Glomeromycetes; Entrophosporales; Entrophosporaceae.